This 914-nucleotide ribosomal RNA is filed under the name uncultured marine archaeon. RNAcentral's name for it is "bacterial SSU rRNA". It matches the Rfam family "Archaeal small subunit ribosomal RNA", at positions 1 to 921 of the family's 1478-position model. The record is from RNAcentral.
UUCCGGUUGAUCCUGCCGGAGGCUACCGCUAUUGGAGUUCGAUUAAGCCAUGCGAGUCGCGAGUCUUAGGGACUCGGCGUACCGCUCAGUAACACGUGGGUAACCUGCCCUAUGCUGGGGGAUAACCUCGGGAAACUGAGAAUAAUACCCCAUAGUUCACCACGCCUGGAACGGUGGGUGGAUGAAAGCUCCGGCGGCAUAGGAUGGGCCUGCGGCGUAUCAGGUUGUAGGGGGUGUAAUGUACCCUCUAGCCAUCUACGCGUACGGGUGUUGGGAGACAUCGCCCGGAGAUGGAUUCUGAGACACGAAUCCAGACCCUACGGGGUGCAGCAGGCGCGAAAACUUGGCAAUGCGAGCAAUCGUGACCAGGGAACUCCAAGUGCAUCGGGUAAGACCGAUGCUUUUCUUGACUCUUCAAAGGUCUUGGAAUAAGGGGUGGGUAAGGACGGUGCCAGCCGCCGCGGUAAUACCGGCGCCUCAAGUGGUAGUCGCUUUUAUUGGGCCUAAAACGUCCGUAGCCGGUUUGGUACAUUCGUGGGUAAAUCAAGGCGCUCAACGUCUUGAAUUCUGCGAGCACGGCCAGACUUGGGACCGGGUGAGGUGUGGGGUACUCUCAGGGUAGGGGUAAAAUCCUGUCAUCCUGAGAGGACCACCUGUUGCGAAGGCGCCACACUAGAACGGAUCCGACGGUCAGGGACGAAGCCUAGGGGCACGAACCGGAUUAGAUACCCGGGUAGUCCUAGGUGUAAACGCUGUGGACUUGAUGUUGGGAGUGCUCCGAGCACCCUCAGUGUCGAAGCGAAGGUGAUAAGUCCACUGCCUGGGGAGUACGGUCGCAAGGCUGAAACUUAAAGGAAUUGGCGGGGGAGCACUGCAACCUGAGGAUUGUGCGGUUUAAUUGGAGUCAACGCCGG